GCCCUCGUAGCUCAAUGGAUAGAGUCGUUGACUUCGAAUCAAAAGGUUGGGGGUUCGAGUCCCUCCGGGGGCG
This is a non-coding RNA of Anaerolineaceae bacterium oral taxon 439, 73 nucleotides long. Lineage: Bacteria; Bacillati; Chloroflexota; Anaerolineae; Anaerolineales; Anaerolineaceae. The record is from Rfam.